GAGGGAUUCACAGUUGAGUCGGCUGACAAAGAGACUGAAAUACGUCACUCCCGACGCUGGAAUGAGCUGUGUGUUCCAGUCAGAGGAGUCAGAGGACCAUCUGACUUUCUCUGAAGAUUCAGUUGGACCAACCAGAGAGCUCGCCCAGCUCUCGAUCAGUGAGCCCCCAAUCAGACAGCUUCAACAGCAAGUCUGCCGAGG
This is a long non-coding RNA of Salarias fasciatus (jewelled blenny), 201 nucleotides long. RefSeq lists it as uncharacterized. The record is from RefSeq and is a predicted model, not a curated record. The transcript has 3 exons. Lineage: Eukaryota; Metazoa; Chordata; Actinopteri; Blenniiformes; Blenniidae.